This is a long non-coding RNA of Rattus norvegicus (Norway rat), 776 nucleotides long. RefSeq lists it as hypothetical. The transcript has 2 exons. The record is from RefSeq and is marked validated. NCBI's taxonomy places the organism in Eukaryota, Metazoa, Chordata, Mammalia, Rodentia, Muridae.
UGGAUCCCGAGCUCCGGGCGUCCGCGCGCACCUCCAGGCUCCGCACCGGCAACUGGCUGCGACCCAGCGGUCACGCCUUUACCCUGGUGGGUUCCCCCCGCCGCUCUGCAUUCUGGGGAGCUCCCGGUGGAGCUGUGGGCGCCGCCGAGUCGCGGCUGCAGCCGGAGGAAGGGGCGAGAGGAAAGAACCUUCUGUUGGAUGAAAUAAAAGCAAACACUGGGCCUUCUGCUCUGCCUCCACCUCCACGCCCCUCCCGCGCCUGCCGCCCGCCCGGAUUGCACGGAAAUAGCCUCUCCAAGCUCCUGGGCCGCCCCUUCGCGGUGACUCGCAGAAAGAGCUUCCUGAGCUCCGGCCGGUGGGAAACAAAGGAUGUGGGGAACUGGCGGAAGGAGCCCACGUGGCUGGCGCCAGAUUCCUGUCCCCUCCAGCCUGCAUACGCGCCGGAGGGUCUAGGGCGCCAAUGCGGCCGGGAGUAUUAGAUACUGAGCUACGGGUCAUUCUAUCCACUGCUUGGGAUACUAGGUCGCGUGUAUACGUUCAUGCAGUUUUGAGUUGUGUAAACAGCUUGCAACCACAUUUUGUGUUGCUGGGUUUUGUUUGUUUGGCUUUUUUUUUUUCUUUCUUCCUCUCCACUUCUUUCGCAAACCAGGUCAGUUUGGAGUCUGGAUCCUCACGAAGCAUAGAAACUAUUAUCAAAAUCCUUUCUUGUAUUUAUGCUGAAUAAUUAAUUUUCUAAAACCAGGUCAAGCCCAAAAAUAAAUCCUUUUCAUUAUUAA